This 1480-nucleotide ribosomal RNA is filed under the name uncultured marine bacterium. RNAcentral describes it as "bacterial SSU rRNA". It matches the Rfam family "Bacterial small subunit ribosomal RNA". The record is from RNAcentral.
GAGUUUGAUCCUGGCUCAGGAUGAACGCUAGCGGCAGGCUUAACACAUGCAAGUCGAGGGGUAACGGGGAAGCUUGCUUCCGCCGACGACCGGCGCACGGGUGCGUAACGCGUAUACAAUCUACCUUAUACUGGGGUAUAGCCUUUAGAAAUGAAGAUUAACCCCCCAUAGUCUCUUAGAGUGGCAUCACUUCUAGAGUAAAGGUUACGGUAUAAGAUGAGUAUGCGUUCUAUUAGUUUGUUGGUGUGGUAACGGCACACCAAGACUACGAUAGAUAGGGGCCCUGAGAGGGGGAUCCCCCACACUGGUACUGAGACACGGACCAGACUCCUACGGGAGGCAGCAGUGAGGAAUAUUGGACAAUGGAGGCAACUCUGAUCCAGCCAUGCCGCGUGCAGGAAGACUGCCCUAUGGGUUGUAAACUGCUUUUAUACAGGAAGAAACACCUCUACGUGUAGAGGCUUGACGGUACUGUAAGAAUAAGGAUCGGCUAACUCCGUGCCAGCAGCCGCGGUAAUACGGAGGAUCCAAGCGUUAUCCGGAAUCAUUGGGUUUAAAGGGUCCGUAGGUGGAUAAUUAAGUCAGAGGUGAAAUCUUGCAGCUCAACUGUAAAAUUGCCUUUGAAACUGGUUAUCUUGAGUUAUUAUGAAGUAGUUAGAAUAUGUAGUGUAGCGGUGAAAUGCAUAGAUAUUACAUAGAAUACCAAUUGCGAAGGCAGAUUACUAAUAAUCAACUGACACUGAUGGACGAAAGCGUGGGUAGCGAACAGGAUUAGAUACCCUGGUAGUCCACGCCGUAAACGAUGGUUACUAGCUGUUUGGACUUCGGUCUGAGUGGCUAAGCGAAAGUGAUAAGUAACCCACCUGGGGAGUACGUUCGCAAGAAUGAAACUCAAAGGAAUUGACGGGGGCCCGCACAAGCGGUGGAGCAUGUGGUUUAAUUCGAUGAUACGCGAGGAACCUUACCAGGGCUUAAAUGUAAGUUGCAUUAGUUAGAGAUAGCUAUUUCUUCGGACCACUUACAAGGUGCUGCAUGGUUGUCGUCAGCUCGUGCCGUGAGGUGUCAGGUUAAGUCCUAUAACGAGCGCAACCCCUGUUGUUAGUUGCCAGCGAGUCAUGUCGGGAACUCUAGCAAGACUGCCAGUGCAAACUGUGAGGAAGGUGGGGAUGACGUCAAAUCAUCACGGCCCUUACGUCCUGGGCUACACACGUGCUACAAUGGUAGGUACAGAGAGCAGCCACUGCGCGAGCAGGAGCGAAUCUAUAAAACCUAUCACAGUUCGGAUCGGAGUCCGCAACUCGACUCCGUGAAGCUGGAAUCGCUAGUAAUCGGAUAUCAGCCAUGAUCCGGUGAAUACGUUCCCGGGCCUUGUACACACCGCCCGUCAAGCCAUGGAAGUUGGAAGUGCCUGAAGUCCGUCACCGUAAGGAGCGGCCUAGGGUAAAGUCGAUAACUAGGGCUAAGUCGUAACAAGGUAACC